This 165-nucleotide ribosomal RNA is filed under the name Cronobacter malonaticus ENBT0334. RNAcentral describes it as "partial 23S ribosomal RNA". It matches the Rfam family "Bacterial large subunit ribosomal RNA", at positions 1 to 157 of the family's 2925-position model. The record is from RNAcentral. Lineage: Bacteria; Pseudomonadati; Pseudomonadota; Gammaproteobacteria; Enterobacterales; Enterobacteriaceae.
GGGUUGUGAGGUUAAGCGAACAAGCGUACACGGUGGAUGCCCUGGCAGUCAGAGGCGAUGAAGGACGUGCUAAUCUGCGAAAAGCGCCGGUAAGGUGAUAUGAACCGUUAUAACCGGCGAUGUCCGAAUGGGGAAACCCGGUGCACUUCGGUGCAUCAUCGUUAG